AUUGAACGCUGGCGGCAGGCCUAACACAUGCAAGUCGAGCGGCUGAAGGGAGCUUGCUCCUGCAUUCAGCGGCGGACGGGUGAGUAAUGCCUAGUAAUCUGCCUGGUAGUGGGGGAUAACUUCCUUAAACGGGCGCUAAUACCGCAUACGUCCUGAGGUAGAACGUGGGGGAUCUUCGGACCUCACGCUCUCAGAUGAUCCUAUGUCGGAUUAGCUAGUUGGUGGGGUAAAGGCCUACCAAGGCGACGAUCCGUAACUGGUCUGAGAGGAUGAUCAGUCACACUGGAACUGAGACACGGUCCAGACUCCUACGGGAGGCAGCAGUGGGGAAUAUUGGACAAUGGGCGAAAGCCUGAUCCAGCCAUGCCGCGUGUGUGAAGAAGGUCUUCGGAUUGUAAAGCACUUUAAGUUGGGAGGAAGAGAAGUAAGUGAAUACCUUGCUGUUUUGACGUUACCAACAGAAUAAGCAACGGCUAACUUCGUG
RNAcentral lists this ribosomal RNA (484 nucleotides) under uncultured bacterium. RNAcentral's name for it is "partial 16S ribosomal RNA". It matches the Rfam family "Bacterial small subunit ribosomal RNA", at positions 30 to 507 of the family's 1533-position model. The record is from RNAcentral.